AGAUGUGCAGCUCAGAUGGGGUGAUUAUGACUCUCAUGAUAUUGAGCGUUAUACCCGGGCCAAAUUUAUGGACUAUACAACGGAUAACAUGUCUAUAUAUCCAUCUCCAACUGGGGUGAUGAUUGGACUUGAUCUGGCAUACAAUUUGCAUUCUGCUUUUGGUAACUGGUUUCCUGGUUCAAAACCACUUCUAGCUCAGGCGAUGAACAAGAUAAUGAAGUCAAACCCAGCCUUAUAUGUCUUGAGAGAGCGGAUAAGGAAAGGUUUACAGUUGUAUUCUUCUGAGCCUACAGAACCUUAUUUGUCGUCCCAGAACUAUGGUGAGAUCUUCAGCAAUCAGAUAAUAUGGUUUGUUGAUGACACCAAUGUGUAUCGUGUCACCAUUCAUAAGACAUUUGAGGGUAACCUUACAACAAAACCCAUUAACGGUGCAAUAUUUAUAUUCAAUCCAAGAACUGGCCAGCUAUUUCUGAAGGUCAUCCACACUAGUGUAUGGGCAGGACAGAAGCGUCUUGGUCAACUUGCUAAGUGGAAAACUGCUGAAGAAGUUGCAGCUCUUGUGCGGUCUCUGCCUGUUGAAGAACAACCAAAACAAAUUAUUGUGACUCGUAAAGGGAUGCUUGAUCCAUUAGAGGUUCACUUGCUUGAUUUCCCAAAUAUAGUUAUUAAAGGAAGUGAGUUGCAGUUGCCAUUCCAGGCUUGCUUGAAGAUAGAGAAAUUUGGAGAUUUGAUUUUGAAAGCAACAGAGCCACAAAUGGUUUUAUUCAAUAUUUACGAUGAUUGGCUGAAGAGCAUCUCAUCAUACACUGCAUUUUCCCGACUCAUUUUGAUCCUUCGUGCACUUCAUGUGAAUAACGAGAAGGCGAAGAUGCUACUCAAACCUGACAAAACCAUCAUUACUGAGCCACACCACAUCUGGCCUUCUCUCAGUGAUGAUCAAUGGAUGAAGGUUGAGGUUGCUUUAAGAGAUCUCAUACUUUCUGACUAUGCCAAGAAAAACAAUGUGAACACAUCAGCACUGACACAAUCUGAGAUCCGUGAUAUUAUUCUUGGUGCUGAAAUCACUCCUCCUUCUCAACAAAGGCAACAGAUAGCAGAGAUUGAGAAACAGGCCAAAGAAGCAAGUCAGUUAACAGCAGUCACAACAAGGACAACAAAUGUGCAUGGUGAUGAACUCAUUGUCACCACCACUAGUCCUUAUGAGCAGGCUGCAUUUGGGUCCAAAACAGAUUGGCGUGUCAGAGCAAUAUCAGCUACAAAUCUGUACCUUCGGGUCAAUCACAUAUAUGUGAAUUCAGAAGAUAUCAAGGAAACGGGGUAUACCUAUAUCAUGCCCAAGAAUAUUUUGAAGAAAUUUAUCUGCAUAGCAGAUCUGCGUACUCAAAUUGCAGGGUACCUGUAUGGUAUUAGUCCCCCAGAUAACCCUCAGGUCAAGGAGAUUCGCUGUAUUGCCAUGGUACCUCAAUGGGGGACUCAUCAACAAGUUCAUCUCCCAUCAGCUCUUCCUGAGCAUGAUUUCCUCAAUGAUCUGGAGCCCCUGGGAUGGAUGCAUACCCAACCAAAUGAGCUUCCUCAGUUGUCACCACAGGAUCUUACAACUCAUGCUCGGAUUUUAGAGAACAACAAGCAAUGGGAUGGGGAGAAGUGCAUCAUCUUGACUUGCAGUUUUACUCCAGGAUCUUGCUCAUUAACUGCAUAUAAGCUUACCUCAAGUGGGUAUGAGUGGGGACGUGUCAACAAGGACACUGGAAGCAAUCCUCACGGUUACUUGCCAACUCAUUAUGAGAAGGUCCAGAUGCUACUGAGUGAUCGAUUCCUUGGUUUCUAUAUGAUUCCUGAUAAUGGCCCAUGGAACUACAACUUCAUGGGAGUGAAGCAUACAGUGAGCAUGAAAUACGGAAUCAAGCUGGGGACACCACGGGAGUAUUAUCAUGAGGAUCAUCGACCAACCCAUUACUUGGAAUUCAGCAACUUGGAGGAGGGUGAAACUGCAGAGGGAGACCGGGAGGAUACCUUCACUUGAAGUAGAACAUUAGUUGGAAGUACUUCCAAUGUCAAAACCCAAGUAUUAAUUUUUCUGCUUGGUGGAAAGAACUCUUUUUUUGUAGUAAUGCUUGUGUGCCAUAUAUCGAUAUUACUGUUGUAAAUCAGAAACGUUUUCUUAAUGAGCUGUAAAUGUGUAUUCUAGAAAUUGAAGUCUAUACAUAGCAACUAUAUUCGUCGUUAUUUUUAUUUCAUAAAAGAAGGUAUAGGCCGAUUCAAAUUCAAGACUUCGGAAGUUAAAAGCCUGCGGAGAGGUAUGUUGUUUGUACAAUAUAGCUCGGAUGAGUGGUUGAAAAUGUGAUUAGUUUCAGCCUCAGGCAUCACUGGGUAGAAGUUUAUUUGGGGGAACAUCAGCAAAAGACAUUGUUAAGAAGGUGCAGGUAUUAUGCUUGCAUCUCCAGAUGCUCG
RNAcentral lists this unclassified non-coding RNA (2451 nucleotides) under Hevea brasiliensis (rubber tree). The record is from RNAcentral. Lineage: Eukaryota; Viridiplantae; Streptophyta; Magnoliopsida; Malpighiales; Euphorbiaceae.